Molecule: ribosomal RNA, 254 nt
Filed under: uncultured bacterium
Lineage: Bacteria
Description: partial 16S ribosomal RNA
Rfam family: Bacterial small subunit ribosomal RNA
Source: RNAcentral
UACGUAGGGGCCAAGCGUUGUCCGGAUUUAUUGGGCGUAAAGAGCUCGUAGGCGGUUGGGUAAGUCGGGUGUGAAAACUCCAGGCUCAACUUGGAGAUGCCACCCGAUACUGCUCUGACUUGAGUUCGGUAGGGGAGUGGGGAAUUCCUGGUGUAGCGGUGAAAUGCGCAGAUAUCAGGAGGAACACCGGUGGCGAAGGCGCCACUCUGGGACGGUACUGACGCUGAGACGCGAAAGCGUGGGGAGCGAACAGG